This 639-nucleotide ribosomal RNA is filed under the name Triticum aestivum (bread wheat). Its description in RNAcentral is "partial small subunit ribosomal RNA". The record is from RNAcentral. Lineage: Eukaryota; Viridiplantae; Streptophyta; Magnoliopsida; Poales; Poaceae.
AUGAACAUUAGGGCGGACCUGCCACCGGAUCUUGUCGGGCUCUGCUUCAAUUUCCUGAGCGAGGAGCACGUUGCCAGCGUGUGCGAAAAUGAAAGGGUUUGCCUUUGCUGCCGUCGUCCGGACCACAUUGCGCGGGAAUGCCGCGCCCCUCGCUCUCGCUCGCCGCCGCUCCCAUCGCCUCGUCCGGUCAGGGAGCGGAUUGGGGGGCGUGUCGAGGCCCCGACGCAGCCGCCUUCCCCAACUCCAUCCCGCGUCUACGGACCGGCGACAUCUUUUCAGCAGAGGGCAACGCUGGUGCACGCUCGCCUGGGACUGGUCAGGCACUCUGCCACCAGGGAUCCCUCGGGGCAGAAUCAGCGCGCUGCUGUCCUGGGCGCGCAGAGGGGCACGCCGGCGCGGGAUCGCUUGGGCCCUGCGGUGCCUUGCACCGACAGGGUGCCCUCGGAUUCGCGCCUGGCGAGGAUCCCCGCGGUGGCUGCUGGCGUUGGGGAGCGUGCGUAUGUGCCUGGCGCGCUGGAGUCAAGACCUGCCGUGGAGUGCGUCAUCAUCCCCCGCUCGCCUGAGGUGGUGGCGGCUGAGGAGGCGCUGCGCUGGGCGCUCGUCGGGGUGGUUACUGGUGGCCUCCCAGGGUGGCGGUGA